Molecule: ribosomal RNA, 497 nt
Filed under: uncultured bacterium
Lineage: Bacteria
Description: partial 16S ribosomal RNA
Rfam family: Bacterial small subunit ribosomal RNA
Source: RNAcentral
GAUGAACGCUGGCGGCGUGCCUAAUACAUGCAAGUCGAGCGAACAGACGAGGAGUUUGCUCCUCUGACGUUAGCGGCGGACGGGUGAGUAGCACGUGGAUAACCUACCUAUAAGACUGGGAUAACUUCGGGAAACCGGAGCUAAUACCGGAUAAUAUAUUGAACCGCAUGGUUCAAUAGUGAAAGACGGUUUUGCUGUCACUUAUAGAUGGAUCCGCGCCGCAUUAGCUAGUUGGUAAGGUAACGGCUUACCAAGGCAACGAUGCGUAGCCGACCUGAGAGGGUGAUCGGCCACACUGGAACUGAGACACGGUCAAGACUCCUACGGGAGGCAGCAGUAGGGAAUCUUCCGCAAUGGGCGAAAGCCUGACGGAGCAACGCCGCGUGAGUGAUGAAGGUCUUCGGAUCGUAAAACUCUGUUAUUAGGGAAGAACAAAUGUGUAAGUAACUAUGCACGUCUUGACGGUACCUAAUCAGAAGGCCACGGCUAACUACGUG